AGGCGGAGUCUUGGGCAAUUGCCAGCAAUCUUAAGGGGCAUUGCACUUGUCUCGGUCUGA
Oncorhynchus mykiss (rainbow trout) is the source of this 60-nucleotide microRNA precursor. Ensembl annotates it as microRNA 25. NCBI's taxonomy places the organism in Eukaryota, Metazoa, Chordata, Actinopteri, Salmoniformes, Salmonidae. The record is from Ensembl.